RNAcentral lists this ribosomal RNA (468 nucleotides) under uncultured bacterium. RNAcentral's name for it is "partial 16S ribosomal RNA". It matches the Rfam family "Bacterial small subunit ribosomal RNA", at positions 28 to 507 of the family's 1533-position model. The record is from RNAcentral.
GACGAACGCUGGCGGCGUGCUUAACACAUGCAAGUCGAACGGAAAGACCCUGCUUUUGUGGGGUGCUCGAGUGGCGAACGGGUGAGUAACACGUGAGUAACCUGCCCUUGACUUUGGGAUAACUUCAAGAAACUGGGGCUAAUACCGGAUAGGAGCUCCUGCUGCAUGGUGGGGGUUGGAAAGUUUCGGCGGUUGGGGAUGGACUCGCGGCUUAUCAGCUUGUUGGUGGGGUAGUGGCUUACCAAGGCUUUGACGGGUAGCCGGCCUGAGAGGGUGACCGGCCACAUUGGGACUGAGAUACGGCCCAGACUCCUACGGGAGGCAGCAGUGGGGAAUAUUGCACAAUGGGCGGAAGCCUGAUGCAGCAACGCCGCGUGCGGGAUGACGGCCUUCGGGUUGUAAACCGCUUUCGCCUGUGACGAAGCGUGAGUGGCGGUAAUGGGUAAAGAAGCACCGGCUAACUACAUG